GUUAACAGAAAUCGAGAAAAGAAAAGUGAUAUUAUUUGGUGGUUUUAGUAGUGGCAUCAGCACUAAAGUUGACGGAGCGGCAGAACGUGGCGGAGUCAGUUAAAAGUGUUUUUAUUUAUUCGCACGGUGGCCGUAAUUAAAAAGAAGUGGUCCGACAUUAAAAUCAACGUGAAAAAACGAGUGGCGGCUCACCGUAAGAGGAGACGGAGGGAGCGGAAUCCCCGGUCUCUCACUUUAUCCGGUGAGGGGGACGCCGAUGUCAGCGCGGGUAAGUUUUUCUCAUAGCAUACUUGUUUGAAUUACUUGCAUGUUUAUGAAUAACAAGUAAGGCGCAGAUGCGGUGUUACUUUUGUUUAUUAUUUUUGUUUAUUCUUACAGACAGUAGUGCAAGAGGUGCCCCCAGUGCCGAGGACGACACUGGCGGCGAUGGUGCUGCUGUGCCGAGCACAUCUUUGGGCGCUGGCUGCACACAUUCCCGUGCCUCGGAAACCGGGGUGGCGACCAUCGGGCCGUGUGCUGACUGAAACUGUGCUGCAGUCACAAAAUGCAAUAGCACAUGCUUAGCCUGAGAGGAAACUGACGUCUUCAAGAAUCUUGGACCAGUGCAACAGAAGGAGUUUCGGGAGCUCAAUGAGUAAUCGCAGGAUAUCUCCUCAGUCUGUGGCUCAGAGCACAUCAUCCCACACCACGCCCACAACCUCCACAAAGAAAUCAAGACAAAGGCAAUGAGAGCUAUUCCCCAUUCCCUCUUAAAAAGCGUGUCCUGGCUCUGCCCCAGGGCCUCCUCCUGGUUGGACAUCCUCCAGGAGGCAUCCUAGAUAGCUUCCCGAACCACCUCAGCUAAUUCCUUUCGAUGCAGAGGAACAGAGGCUCUACUUUGAGCCCCUCCUGAAUAUCUGAGCUCCUCACCCUAUCUCUAAGGC
This is a long non-coding RNA of Brienomyrus brachyistius, 923 nucleotides long. RefSeq lists it as uncharacterized. NCBI's taxonomy places the organism in Eukaryota, Metazoa, Chordata, Actinopteri, Osteoglossiformes, Mormyridae. The transcript is spliced from 4 exons. The record is from RefSeq and is a predicted model, not a curated record.